GGGCACGGGGGGAACCGUCGACAGUCAGGCAACGAGCGAGACCCACGCCAACAGUUGCUAGCUCGUCCUCCGGGAUGGAGAGGACACUGUUGGGACCGCCUCUGCUAAAGAGGAGGAAGGAAUGGGCAACGGUAGGUCAGCAUGCCCCGAAUUAACUGGGCUACACGCGGGCUACAAUGGGUGGGACAAUGGGUAUCGACACCGAAAGGUGAAGGCAAUCUCCUAAACCCAUCCUUAGUUCGGAUUGUGGGCUGCAACUCGCCCACAUGAAGCUGGAAUCCGUAGUAAUCGUAUCUCAAUAUGGUACGGUGAAUAUGUCCCUGCUCCUUGCACGAAUUCGCCG
RNAcentral lists this ribosomal RNA (343 nucleotides) under uncultured Methanomicrobiales archaeon. RNAcentral's name for it is "bacterial SSU rRNA". It matches the Rfam family "Archaeal small subunit ribosomal RNA", at positions 1005 to 1352 of the family's 1478-position model. The record is from RNAcentral. Lineage: Archaea; Methanobacteriati; Methanobacteriota; Methanomicrobia; Methanomicrobiales.